UGAGGAAUAUUGGGCAAUGGGCGAAAGCCUGACCCAGCAACGCCGCGUGAUUGAAGAAGGUCUUCGGAUUGUAAAGAUCUGUCCUAUGGGAAGAAACAAAUGACGGUACCAUAGGAGGAAGCCCCGGCUAACUACGUGCCAGCAGCCGCGGUAAUACGUAGGGGGCGAGCGUUGUCCGGAAUUACUGGGCGUAAAGGGUGCGCAGGCGGCGCUUUAAGUCAGAUGUGAAAUACCCGGGCUUAACCUGGGGGGUGCAUCUGAUACUGGAGCGCUUGAGUGCAGGAGAGGAAAGUGGAAUUCCUAGUGUAGCGGUGAAAUGCGUAGAUAUUAGGAGGAACACCAGUGGCGAAGGCGACUUUCUGGACUGUAACUGACGCUGAGGCACGAAAGCGUGGGGAGCAAACA
Molecule: ribosomal RNA, 405 nt
Filed under: uncultured bacterium
Lineage: Bacteria
Description: bacterial SSU rRNA
Rfam family: Bacterial small subunit ribosomal RNA
Source: RNAcentral